RNAcentral lists this ribosomal RNA (622 nucleotides) under uncultured bacterium. Its description in RNAcentral is "bacterial SSU rRNA". It matches the Rfam family "Bacterial small subunit ribosomal RNA", at positions 371 to 974 of the family's 1533-position model. The record is from RNAcentral.
CUGGCCGAAGGCUGACGCUGCGACGUCGCGUGGAGGAUGAAGGUCUUAGGAUCGUAAACUCCUUUUAUCUACGAACAAGUUCUGAGUGUAGUAGAUGAAUAAGUGCCUGCCAACCACGUGCCAGAAGCAUCGGUAAUACGUGGGACACAAGCGUUACCCGGAUUCACUGGGCGUAAAGAGAUGCGUAGGCGUCUAGAAAAGUUCUGUGUUAAAUCCCAAGGCUCACCCUUGGAACCGCAUAGAAAACUCUCUGGAUUGAGUCAUGUAGAGAAUAGGGGAAUUCCUGGUGGAGCGGUUAAAUGCGUUGAUAUCAGGAGGAACACCAAUGGCGAAAGCACCUAUUUGGACAUGUACUGACGCUAAGGCUCGAAAGUGUGGGGAGCAAAACGGAUUAGAUACCCGUGUAGUCCACACCGUAAACGAUCCCUGUUAGAUGUUCGAAAUUUGCUGAAAUUUCUCUUCGGAGAAGGAUAAGCACUUUUUGAGUGUCGCAGCUAACGCGUUAAACAGGGCGCCUGUGAAGUACGACCGCAAGGGUUAAAACACAAAGGAAUUGACGGGGGACCCCGCACAAGCAGUGGAGUGCCUGGGUUUAAUUCGAAUGAUCAACGAAGAACCUCAC